GUGUAGCUUUGUGUUAGAGCUCUUGCCUGGCAUGCAUGGGGCCCUGGGUUCGAUCCCAGCAC
Molecule: transfer RNA, 62 nt
Filed under: Heterocephalus glaber (naked mole-rat)
Lineage: Eukaryota; Metazoa; Chordata; Mammalia; Rodentia; Bathyergidae
Rfam family: tRNA
About the family: Transfer RNA (tRNA) molecules are approximately 80 nucleotides in length. Their secondary structure includes four short double-helical elements and three loops (D, anti-codon, and T loops).
Source: Rfam by way of RNAcentral